AUGCUGUCAAAAGCCUAAAACUCAUGGUUGAAGUGCAAAUGUGUCCUUGCGCAUGAACCAUAGGAUCUUUUCUGAAUCUCACAAUUUUGGUGGCUUACCCUGCAACAGCAUGUUUGUUGUUAUGGCUGUUUUACUUCUGUUUAGAAGGCAACCCAGCUAAGAGAUAGAGUUUCAGUGACAUGAAGACUGUGAAGUGAACCACCUAUCACCAUGCUACUGCAAUACUUCAUGACACUAACUUGAGCAUCAGGAAAUUUAUCUCAACAUGUGGAGUAAUGCUGUUGGUUGCUGUGAAUUCCAUUUUUACGGUUUUUUCUUCAUGAAAAUUGCUGUGUGCUUCAAUGAGAGCACGCAGUUUCUUUAUGGAAUCGUGUGGUCCUGGCACGGAGAUUCUGUGCCAAUGCUGACCUUUGUCCAUGACGGAAGAGAGACUUCCAUCAACGUUCUUCUCCAUCCUUAUCUUCGCGACGCACGCUCAUCUAGCUUCACUGCUUCUAAACACAAUUUGUUUUACUUCACUGGCGACUUGGCGAGUUUCUGGACCUCUUCAGUGAUCGUUUCCGUCCGCUGUUACACACCUGCAGUCACUCACCACGGGAUUAUGCCCAGGUCAUGCAGAGGAAACGUCGAGAAGAUGGAUACCAAAACGUCGCCGGUA
Long non-coding RNA from Daphnia pulicaria, 658 nucleotides. RefSeq lists it as uncharacterized. Lineage: Eukaryota; Metazoa; Arthropoda; Branchiopoda; Diplostraca; Daphniidae. The record is from RefSeq and is a predicted model, not a curated record. The transcript is spliced from 5 exons.